AUUGAACGCUGGCGGCAGGCCUAACACAUGCAAGUCGAGCGGAGCGGCGGACGGGGGAGUAAUGCCUAGGAAUCUGCCAGGUAGUCGGGGAUAACGUCCGGCAACGGGCGCUAAUACCGAAUACUAUCACAUGAGCCUAGGUCGGAUUAGCUAGUGGGUGGGUGAAAGGCCUACAAAGGCGACGAUCGGUAACUGGUAUGAGAGGAUGAUCAGUCACACGGGAACUGAGACACGGUCCAGACUCCUACGGGAGGCAGCAGUGGGGAAUAUUGGAAAAUGGGCGAAAGCCUGAGCCAGCCAUGCCGCGUGUGUGAAGAAGGUCUUCGGAUGGUAAAGCACUUUAAGUUGGGAGGCGUUACCAACAGAAUAAGCACCGGCUAACUUCGUGCCAGCAGCCGCGGUAAUAC
RNAcentral lists this ribosomal RNA (407 nucleotides) under uncultured bacterium. RNAcentral's name for it is "partial 16S ribosomal RNA". It matches the Rfam family "Bacterial small subunit ribosomal RNA", at positions 30 to 526 of the family's 1533-position model. The record is from RNAcentral.